RNAcentral lists this unclassified non-coding RNA (215 nucleotides) under Ambisporaceae sp. RNAcentral's name for it is "partial contains 5.8S ribosomal RNA and internal transcribed spacer 2". The stretch from base 1 to 71 matches the Rfam family "5.8S ribosomal RNA", at positions 84 to 154 of the family's 154-position model. Lineage: Eukaryota; Fungi; Glomeromycota; Glomeromycetes; Archaeosporales; Ambisporaceae. The record is from RNAcentral.
GUGAAUCAUCGAAUUUUUGAACGCAUAUUGCGCUCUCUGGUACUCCGGAGAGCAUGCCUGUUUGAGGGUAAUUAAUUAAAUCAUUGACCGUUAUGGGUCAAGGGUUAUGGUCACUCCGCGGUUUAACGUGGUGGCCUAAAAUGUAUGGUCGGUCUCAUCAGGUUGAGAUGUGUAAGAAUUUUUAUUUCGCAAACCAUUUAAUGGGCUACGAAGUG